This 429-nucleotide ribosomal RNA is filed under the name Chloroflexota bacterium. RNAcentral's name for it is "Chloroflexi bacterium partial 16S ribosomal RNA". It matches the Rfam family "Bacterial small subunit ribosomal RNA", at positions 355 to 776 of the family's 1533-position model. RNAcentral also lists the same sequence under 1 other name. Lineage: Bacteria; Bacillati; Chloroflexota. The record is from RNAcentral.
UAGGGAAUCUUCGGCAAUGGACGAAAGUCUGACCGAGCAACGCCGCGUGAGUGAAGAAGGUUUUCGGAUCGUAAAACUCUGUUGUUAGAGAAGAACAAGGACGUUAGUAACUGAACGUCCCCUGACGGUAUCUAACCAGAAAGCCACGGCUAACUACGUGCCAGCAGCCGCGGUAAUACGUAGGUGGCAAGCGUUGUCCGGAUUUAUUGGGCGUAAAGCGAGCGCAGGCGGUUUCUUAAGUCUGAUGUGAAAGCCCCCGGCUCAACCGGGGAGGGUCAUUGGAAACUGGGAGACUUGAGUGCAGAAGAGGAGAGUGGAAUUCCAUGUGUAGCGGUGAAAUGCGUAGAUAUAUGGAGGAACACCAGUGGCAAAGGCGGCUCUCUGGUCUGUAACUGACGCUGAGGCUCGAAAGCGUGGGGAGCAAACAGG